Molecule: ribosomal RNA, 115 nt
Filed under: Brucella anthropi
Lineage: Bacteria; Pseudomonadati; Pseudomonadota; Alphaproteobacteria; Hyphomicrobiales; Brucellaceae
Description: Ochrobactrum anthropi partial 16S ribosomal RNA
Rfam family: Bacterial small subunit ribosomal RNA
Source: RNAcentral
AGGCGCUGUGCUAACCGCAAGGAGGCAGGCGACCACGGUAGGGUCAGCGACUGGGGUGAAGUCGUAACAAGGUAGCCGUAGGGGAACCUGCGGCUGGAUCACCUCCUUUCUAAGG